Molecule: ribosomal RNA, 329 nt
Filed under: uncultured eukaryote
Lineage: Eukaryota
Description: partial 18S ribosomal RNA
Rfam family: Eukaryotic small subunit ribosomal RNA
Source: RNAcentral
CCCUUAGAUGUUCUGGGCCGCACGCGCGCUACACUGAUGCAUUCAACGAGUCUAAAACCUGCUCUGAUAGGGGUGGGUAAUCUUUUGAAUGUGCAUCGUGAUUGGGAUAGAUGAUUGCAAUUUUUCAUCUUCAACGAGGAAUGCCUAGUAAACGCAAGUCAUCAGCUUGCAUUGAUUACGUCCCUGCCCUUUGUACACACCGCCCGUCGCUCCUACCGAUUGAAUGAUCCGAUGAAUAUCAUGGAUUGAGGAUGCAAGCAGGUUCGCCUGUCUUCAUCGUCGAGAAGUGAAGUAAAUCUUAUCAUUUAGAGGAAGGAGAAGUCGUAACA